GAGCAAGAAAGGCCUAUUUAAAAUCUCAGUGGGCGAUUGAUACUUCAGGUUCAAGAUGGCAGACUGAGCAUGCAUGUUUUCUUCCUGUGAGGCCCUGUUUUGUACAAUCCAAUGAAAAGCAAGGCCAACAUAAUGUGAAUGGUAUGUUUAAAAGCCAUGUAUAUUUAUGGAUUUAUGAGCACCUGCUUCCAGCCUUUUGAAGUCAAUUUCAGAUUUGAGAUGAAGAAUCUGAGGCACAAAGAGGUCAACUGGCUUGCCCAAGGGUACUUGGCAGAAGGUGAGCUCUGAUAUAGUGCUUUAGUGCACGGACUCAGAAAGUGGAUGAGGAAGAGUGCAAUAUUGGCAGCAGUAUGCAAUUUCCUUUCUUCUUGUGUGUGACAAACAGCAUAACUUCCUCACUAUAAUCUGGUUUGAAAGUUGAGGACACUGCUCUGGCUAGAGAAUUGACUUUGCUGAUGAGCCUCUGGUCAACAUUUUCAGCUAAGACAUUCAUGAAGCUGUGUAAGAGAGAAAGGCUCAUCACCUUUGCAGAUGACACAAGCCUUUUAUGCGGGAAUCAAAGAAGAACAUGAGAGGCCAGAACACCGGAUUGAAACCAGCAAUUUGACCUUUAAAAGGUAUAAAGUACUGCUUUUAGGUUUAAAUAGUUAACUGCACAAGCCAGAGACACACAGCUUGGUAGCACACUUCUAGCAAAAAAUCCUUUGCUUUUAAUUGACUGCAAGAUCAAUUUAUCUCCGAGUAGCCCAUGAGAGCUAAUACAUGAAACCCAAACUUAGCUUUACUAAUUGGUACAUAGUAGGGGUGCUACUCUUUUCUGCUGGUGUGAAAUCAUAACUGAAAUUUUGGACUCAGUUUCUAAUAAAAAUUUAGGAAGAACCUUAAUCAAUUGUAACUGCAGAAAAAAAAUCACAUGAUUUUGAGUGAAUUAAAUAUCAUGUUUUCUCAUUUUAUAAGCUAUGGUUAAAAAACUGGAUAUAUCCCAGAAAAAUGAAUUUUUAGAAAUUCGGUGGAACUGUGAUCUGAGAAAAUGGUUGUGAAAAUGGGA
This 1048-nucleotide long non-coding RNA is filed under the name Homo sapiens (human). RNAcentral's name for it is "HSALNT0028095". The record is from RNAcentral. Lineage: Eukaryota; Metazoa; Chordata; Mammalia; Primates; Hominidae.